AGUCAUAUGCUUGUCUCAAAGAUUAAGCCAUGCAUGUCUAAGUAUAAGCUUUUAUACGGUGAAACUGCGAAUGGCUCAUUAAAACAGUUAUAGUUUAUUUGAUGGUCUCUUUUACAUGGAUAACCAUGGUAAUUCUAUGGCUAAUACAUGCGCACAGGCCUCCUUCUUUGGAGGGGCCGUGUUUAUUAGAUACAAAACCAACCCACUUUGUGGAGCCUUGGUGAUUCAUAGUAACCGAACGGAUCGCAGUUGGCUUUUGCCCGCGAUGGAUCAUUCAAGUUUCUGACCUAUCAGCUUUCGACGGUAGGGUAUUGGCCUACCGUGGCAGUGACGGGUAACGGGGAAUUAGGGUUCGAUUCCGGAGAGGGAGCCUGAGAAACGGCUACCACAUCUAAGGAAGGCAGCAGGCGCGCAAAUUACCCAAUGAAAACAGUUUCGAGGUAGUGACGAGAAAUAACGGUACAGGGCAUUUAAUGCUUUGUAAUUGGAAUGAUGGGAAUGUAAAACCCUUCCAGAGAACCAAUUGGAGGGCAAGUCUGGUGCCAGCAGCCGCGGUAAUUCCAGCUCCAAUAGUGUAUAUUAGAGUUGUUGCAGUUAAAAAGCUCGUAGUUGGAUUUCUGUCGUGGUCAUCCGGCCGCGCCCGUAGGGUGUGCGCCUGUGUUGCCCGCGGCUUUUUUCCGGUAGCCU
This 687-nucleotide ribosomal RNA is filed under the name Cyclospora papionis. RNAcentral's name for it is "SSU rRNA". It matches the Rfam family "Eukaryotic small subunit ribosomal RNA", at positions 21 to 711 of the family's 1831-position model. The record is from RNAcentral. Lineage: Eukaryota; Apicomplexa; Conoidasida; Eucoccidiorida; Eimeriidae.